AGAGCUUGGUAUUGGAAUAGUGCCGUAUGCCCCUCUUGGUUGUGGCUUUUUUGGUGGUCGUGGUGUUGUGGAAACCGUUCCUGCAGUUAGCUCCCUGAGCUCGUAUCCCCGCUUACAGUCAGAGAAUUUGGAGAAGAACAAGAAAAUAUAUGAUCGAAUAGAAACGUUGCUAAGAAGCAUCAGUGCACUCCUGCUCAGCUAGCAUUAGCAUGGGUACUCCAACAAGGCAAUGACGUUGUGCCUAUCCCUGGAACAACAAAGAUUAAGAACCUAGAUCAAAAUUUGGGUGCCUUGGCAGUGAAACUUUCAAAUGGGGACCUCAAAGAAAUUUCUGAGGCAGUCCCCAUUGAUGAAGUGGCAGGUGAUCAACACUUUGAGAGCUGGGACCAAU
Prosopis cineraria is the source of this 391-nucleotide long non-coding RNA. RefSeq lists it as uncharacterized. The transcript has 3 exons. The record is from RefSeq and is a predicted model, not a curated record. Lineage: Eukaryota; Viridiplantae; Streptophyta; Magnoliopsida; Fabales; Fabaceae.